Molecule: ribosomal RNA, 271 nt
Filed under: uncultured prokaryote
Description: partial 16S ribosomal RNA
Rfam family: Bacterial small subunit ribosomal RNA
Source: RNAcentral
CACGUAGGAGGCAAACGUUAUCCGGAUUUACUGGGCGUAAAGCGCGUGUAGGUGGUUCUGUAAGUAGGGCGUGAAAGCUCCCGGCUCAACUGGGAGAGGCCGUUCUAAACUGCAGAGCUAGAGGAUGGUAGAGGGAGGUGGAAUUCCAGGUGUAGCGGUGGAAUGCGCAGAUAUCUGGAGGAACACCAGUGGCGAAGGCGGCCUCCUGGACCAUUCCUGACACUCAGACGCGAAAGCUAGGGUAGCAAACGGGAUUAGAUACCCGGGUAGU